Long non-coding RNA from Raphanus sativus (radish), 1757 nucleotides. RefSeq lists it as uncharacterized. NCBI's taxonomy places the organism in Eukaryota, Viridiplantae, Streptophyta, Magnoliopsida, Brassicales, Brassicaceae. The transcript has 2 exons. The record is from RefSeq and is a predicted model, not a curated record.
UUAAAAAUGCAGACAAUCAGUCCCUUUUAGUCUUGGGCAAAAUUUUCCAGCUUUUUACAUAUAAAACAAAUAAAAAUAGAAAUCGGAUAAAACAAACAGACAAGGAAAUAAAUAGAGCCGCGUAAAUCUUUCAGAAACGUGGGAAAUCACUUGAAUAAUUACGGAAAUUCUGUACUUUAUAAAUCAUAUAAAAAUAUCGGGACAAGUGUAGCCAAGAGUUCGGGAGAAACACGCACGAGGUUUUCAUGUUGUUUUGAUAAAAAUGCACGAGGUCUAAUGUUAGUGGCUUGAAAAAUUCGACAUGUGCAGAAAAUGAGAACUGACGGCCAAGAAAAAACUUCGAUCAAAGAUUGUCACAAAGGAAUUGAACGUUUUUGUUGCUUUAAUCACUAAAUGUGUUGCUUUAUUGUCUUUUCAAUGAUCUACGUGGCUAUAUAUAGCCUCAAGAGUAUAUAAACGAUUCACAGUUCGAGUAUUUUGUUUGAGAAAGAAAGUUAGAAAAUUUUGCCUUUGUUCUUUCGUUACACAGUGUAUGUGUAUUUGUAUAUAGUCAUUUAUGUAAAUCAAAACUUACCUGUUUCCCCACUUAGCAUGAAGUUCCAUGAUGAUAAGUUGCUCCUCCGGCGUGAUGUUUCCACGUCGUACGUCAGGGCGGAGAUAGUUCAGCCACCGGAGCCGGCAACUUUUCCCGGUGCGUUUUAGACCUUAUAAACGUUUAUUCAAUAAAUCAUCAGUCAAAUAUUGUUUCAUACGUACUUGCAUAUCCACAUAUGUGUGUAUUAUAUAAAUCAUGAUCAUUAAAACACUGUUUAUUAUUAGAUACUUACCUGUAAACUGUCUUACAUAAUUUUAAUUCAUCACUAGGCCUAUAAAACAUUUACGCAAAACGUCUUUGGAGGUUUCCUUUAAUUUAGAUUAAAUUUUAACAAGGAAAUAAUAUAUUAACAAAACAGUUUUUUCGUUUUAACCAAAGAAUUGAAGAUAUAGAUAACAAGUGUGCUUCAUAGGUGUAGAUAAUAACUAUACAAGAUAAAAAAAUUGGUAUGAAUCUAAUACAAGAAAAAAAUAUUGUUACUUGUAUGAUACCUAUGCACGUUAUGUAGAAACCCUAGUUUAUAUCGAAAAAAUAUACGACGUAAAAUAAAUCUAUAUAUACAAAUAUAUAUGGGUGAUUAAUUAUAAUUUGAAAUUCUUUAAGAAGAAAUCAAAUGAACCUGCAGAUUUGGCGAGAGUGUUCCAAACGCCAUCCCCGUGGUUGGCGAUAUAGUUGAUAAGAAUAAGAUCUUCUUCCAUCGUCCAUGGUCCUUUUCUCACCUCUGUUUCUCCUGAUGAUCCCGAACCUCCACUACAUAUUCCUCCUCUUUUGUCCAUUUUAUUCUUAUUUAUUUAUAACUCUUAUAGCUAGAGGGAGAGGAAAUUUAAAAGAAAGAGACAAGUAAGAGAGAAGGUUGUGGUGAGUUGAUAUUGAAGGUUGUGGAAGGAUGUAAAGUUUAUCGAAGGUUCUAGAGUACUGCAGGCAGAGUCAUUCAUUGUGAUCAUCUGCUACAGAGAGCUAGAGUUUGUCCACGAAGUUAUCGUACAUGCAGAACCAUUCGUCGAUCCAAAUAUUUUAGAGAAAGAUUCAUCAUAGAAUCAUUAUCCGUGAAAUUGUUCAUAAAGUUGCAGGUAGUUGAUAUCAUAUGUAAUAGAACUAGAGAUUAUAUGAUGUAAUUGGUGAUUUACCCAAUGUUAACAAAUAAUACAAAGUUAAAUUAAUG